CAGGCAUUAGCUCUAUAAGAGCGUGUUGUUCGUGGGAGUGUGGGCCCCAUAGGAAUCAGAUCACUGAAAGAAGAGUACAACGAAUUAUACUGUAUAUUUAGUACAUUUAGAUAAUGAUGUUUAUAACACAUCUGGCUGUUGUUUUGUUGAGCAUGUCUUUAAUACCACAAAUAAGCUUUUCAUAUGAGCUUCAAGAUACAAUUCAUACUCUGAGAGAGGAGAAUGCGUAUCUACAUCACAGACUGAAAAACCUCACUCAGGCUCUGCGGGAACUGAGAAAACUGCUUUUGGACAAUUCAAAAGAGUCUACUGUGGCUCAUGAUAGUGACCAGUUGCAUGCCUGGAAUGAAUGGAUUAAGAAUGGUAUCAGUACGGAGACGCAUCUCAUGUUAGGACAAGCUUUCUGUUUGCCAGAUCUUCAUGCUGGGGCAAAUUCAUAUUUCCUAGAACAAAUGCUUCUUCUAUCAUGUUUUAUUUGGAUUGUGUUUAUUCUUACCUAAAUGCUGACAAUACAGUAUGUUACUCAACUUUUAAACCUGAUGCCAAAUUCCAAAGAAAAGCCCAGUCUAAGUAUUUGCAAUCCAAGUCUAUAAUUUGUAGAAACAUAAAGCCUACUUUAACACUUUACAUACCGUAGUCCUCUCAACUAAAUGUAAUUGAUUAGUCUGCUGGCUUAGGCUUGACUUUAGUUUUAUUUGGUCAUGCCUUAACUUCUUUUGAUAUCAACAUUUAAACAUUGUGUCUAUUUAUGUCACAGAACUUGGCUUCUGGUGACUUUUUUUCUGGUUAUACUUUUUAUUUUGUUACUUAGCUGAUAAGCAGCAAAGCAAACAUUAGGACUUUCAUUAAAUGUAUUAUUGUAUUCUUUAUUUAUUGGACAUGUAUAGAUUUAAGAUCAUAUACAACAAGAAACUUUCUGUCUUUUACUCUGAAAAUGUAAAUAAAGAAUCAC
This is a long non-coding RNA of Myxocyprinus asiaticus (Chinese sucker), 952 nucleotides long. RefSeq lists it as uncharacterized. NCBI's taxonomy places the organism in Eukaryota, Metazoa, Chordata, Actinopteri, Cypriniformes, Catostomidae. The transcript is spliced from 3 exons. The record is from RefSeq and is a predicted model, not a curated record.